This is a long non-coding RNA of Musa acuminata AAA Group (dessert banana), 293 nucleotides long. RefSeq lists it as uncharacterized. The transcript is spliced from 2 exons. NCBI's taxonomy places the organism in Eukaryota, Viridiplantae, Streptophyta, Magnoliopsida, Zingiberales, Musaceae. The record is from RefSeq and is a predicted model, not a curated record.
AAUGAUUCAUUCAUCUCCUCUCCGUUGCAAGCCCCAAAUUCCUCGAGCGAAGAGUCGCAAGUGUUUGCUUCUAGGUUUUCCCCACUUCUUUUUGCUUGUAGUAGCAAUCCUUCGGGGGAGGAAGGCUGCUUCGGUUGAUGCGCUCCGACAAUGUUUUGUUGUCUGCUAAUUUGGUGAAAUAUCGAAAGAAAUUGCAGGUUUUAUCUCCGCGUACGUGCAUAUUUCGGGUUUGCAGAAUUAGUGGCAUGUGUACUGCUUAAUUUUCUUUAAAAAUUGCUCCUUUGUGCAAGAAA